CAGUCGCCGCGGUAAUACGGAGGGUGCAAGCGUUAAUCGGAAUUACUGGGCGUAAAGCGUGCGUAGGCGGUUCGUUAAGUCUGUUGUGAAAGCCCCGGGCUCAACCUGGGAAUGGCAAUGGAUACUGGCGAGCUAGAGUGUGUCAGAGGAUGGUGGAAUUCCCGGUGUAGCGGUGAAAUGCGUAGAGAUCGGGAGGAACAUCAGUGGCGAAGGCGGCAACCUGGUCCUUGACUGACGCUGAGGCGCGAAAGCGUGGGGAGCAAACAGGAUUAGAUACCCCCGUAGUCCCUGUCUCUUAUAC
Molecule: ribosomal RNA, 301 nt
Filed under: uncultured bacterium
Lineage: Bacteria
Description: partial 16S ribosomal RNA
Rfam family: Bacterial small subunit ribosomal RNA
Source: RNAcentral